Molecule: ribosomal RNA, 467 nt
Filed under: uncultured bacterium
Lineage: Bacteria
Description: partial 16S ribosomal RNA
Rfam family: Bacterial small subunit ribosomal RNA
Source: RNAcentral
GACGAACGCUGGCGGCGUGCUUAACACAUGCAAGUCGAACGGAAAGGCCCUGCUUUUGUGGGGUGCUCGAGUGGCGAACGGGUGAGUAACACGUGAGUAACCUGCCCUUGACUUUGGGAUAACUUCAGGAAACUGGGGCUAAUACCGGAUAGGAGCUCCUGCUGCAUGGUGGGGGUUGGAAAGUUUCGGCGGUUGGGGAUGGACUCGCGGCUUAUCAGCUUGUUGGUGGGGUAGUGGCUUACCAAGGCCUUGACGGGUAGCCGGCCUGAGAGGGUGACCGGCCACAUUGGGACUGAGAUACGGCCCAGACUCCUACGGGAGGCAGCAGUGGGGAAUAUUGCACAAUGGGCGGAAGCCUGAUGCAGCAACGCCGCGUGCGGGAUGACGGCCUUCGGGUUGUAAACCGCUUUCGCCUGUGACGAAGCGUGAGUGACGGUAAUGGGGAAAGAAGCACCGGCUAACUACGU